UUCAAAUGAUGUUUAUCUCACGAUGGUCUUCCUAGCCCGCCGGGCUCUGACGAGAUCGCCAAAUGGCAAAGCUGAUUUAGUGUC
Molecule: small nucleolar RNA, 84 nt
Organism: Syngnathus acus (greater pipefish)
Lineage: Eukaryota; Metazoa; Chordata; Actinopteri; Syngnathiformes; Syngnathidae
Product: small nucleolar RNA SNORD35
Exons: 1
Source: RefSeq, a predicted model, not a curated record